CCCCUUUCUCAACAUCCUCUCCAACACAUGUUGUUUACUAUUUUGUUAAUUUUGGCCAUUCUAACUGGUGUAAGGUGAUAUCUCAAUGCGGUUUUGAUUUGAAUACCCCUGAUGGCUAAUGAUUAACAUUUUUUCAUGUGUUGGCCAUUUGGAUAUCUUCU
This is a long non-coding RNA of Lutra lutra (Eurasian river otter), 161 nucleotides long. RefSeq lists it as uncharacterized. The record is from RefSeq and is a predicted model, not a curated record. NCBI's taxonomy places the organism in Eukaryota, Metazoa, Chordata, Mammalia, Carnivora, Mustelidae. The transcript has 3 exons.